AGCUUUACGCAGUGGCAGUAUCGUAGCCAGUGAGGUUUAUCCGAGGCGUGAUUAUUGCUAAUUAAAAGA
RNAcentral lists this small nuclear RNA (69 nucleotides) under Oryctolagus cuniculus (rabbit). RNAcentral's name for it is "U4 spliceosomal RNA". It matches the Rfam family "U4 spliceosomal RNA", at positions 1 to 69 of the family's 138-position model. From Rfam's summary of the family: U4 small nuclear RNA (U4 snRNA) is a component of the major U2-dependent spliceosome. The structure of U4 snRNA from yeast and human has been reported. Lineage: Eukaryota; Metazoa; Chordata; Mammalia; Lagomorpha; Leporidae. The record is from Rfam by way of RNAcentral.